Molecule: non-coding RNA, 212 nt
Filed under: Bacillota bacterium
Lineage: Bacteria; Bacillati; Bacillota
Source: RNAcentral
AUAGAUAUGAGAAAAUACGGUUUGAAAAGUUGUUAACUGAGUAGAUGUAAAAGGAAAUCCGGUUCGAGUCCGGAACAACCGCCAUUACUGUAUUUGACGAGAUGAAAGCACGAAAUGUCCGCGGGAAAGUCAUGCCCGGGGUCUGACUGCUUUUUUGCGGAUUUUUCCGCGGCAUCAUAAGUCAGGAAACCUGCCGUAUUUUCCGGUUCAAC